AAAUUGAAGAGUUUGAUCAUGGCUCAGAUUGAACGCUGGCGGCAGGCCUAACACAUGCAAGUCGAACGGUAACAGGAAGCAGCUUGCUGCUUCGCUGACGAGUGGCGGACGGGUGAGUAAUGUCUGGGAAACUGCCUGAUGGAGGGGGAUAACUACUGGAAACGGUGGCUAAUACCGCAUAACGUCGCAAGACCAAAGAGGGGGACCUUCGGGCCUCUUGCCAUCAGAUGUGCCCAGAUGGGAUUAGCUUGUUGGUGAGGUAACGGCUCACCAAGGCGACGAUCCCUAGCUGGUCUGAGAGGAUGACCAGCCACACUGGAACUGAGACACGGUCCAGACUCCUACGGGAGGCAGCAGUGGGGAAUAUUGCACAAUGGGCGCAAGCCUGAUGCAGCCAUGCCGCGUGUAUGAAGAAGGCCUUCGGGUUGUAAAGUACUUUCAGCGGGGAGGAAGGUGUUGCGGUUAAUAACCGCAGCAAUUGACGUUACCCGCAGAAGAAGCACCGGCUAACUCCGUGCCAGCAGCCGCGGUAAUACGGAGGGUGCAAGCGUUAAUCGGAAUUACUGGGCGUAAAGCGCACGCAGGCGGUCUGUCAAGUCGGAUGUGAAAUCCCCGGGCUCAACCUGGGAACUGCAUUCGAAACUGGCAGG
RNAcentral lists this ribosomal RNA (650 nucleotides) under Salmonella enterica. Its description in RNAcentral is "bacterial SSU rRNA". It matches the Rfam family "Bacterial small subunit ribosomal RNA", at positions 1 to 640 of the family's 1533-position model. Lineage: Bacteria; Pseudomonadati; Pseudomonadota; Gammaproteobacteria; Enterobacterales; Enterobacteriaceae. The record is from RNAcentral.